This 468-nucleotide ribosomal RNA is filed under the name uncultured bacterium. Its description in RNAcentral is "partial 16S ribosomal RNA". It matches the Rfam family "Bacterial small subunit ribosomal RNA", at positions 28 to 507 of the family's 1533-position model. The record is from RNAcentral.
GACGAACGCUGGCGGCGUGCUUAACACAUGCAAGUCGAACGGAAAGGCCCUGCUUUUGUGGGGUGCUCGAUUGGCGAACGGGUGUGUAAAACGUGUGUAACCUGCCCUUGUCUUUGGGAUAACUUCAGGAAACUGGGGCUAUUACCGGAUAGGAGCUCCUGCUCCAUGGUGGGGGUUGGAAAGUUUCGGCGGUUGGGGAUGGACUCGCGGCUUAUCCGCUUGUUGGUGGGGUAGUGGCUUACCAAGGCUUUGACGGGUAGCCGGCCUGAGAGGGUGACCGGCCACAUUGGGACUGAGAGACGGCCCAGACGCCUACGGGAGGCAGCAGUGGGGAAUAUGGCACAAUGGGCGGAAGCCUGAUGCAGCAACGCCGCGUGCGGGAUGACGGCCUUCGGGUUGUAAACCGCUUUCGCCUGUGACGAAGCGUGAGUGACGGUAAUGGGUAAAGAAGCACCGGCUAACUACGUG